This 506-nucleotide ribosomal RNA is filed under the name uncultured bacterium. RNAcentral's name for it is "partial 16S ribosomal RNA". It matches the Rfam family "Bacterial small subunit ribosomal RNA", at positions 29 to 523 of the family's 1533-position model. The record is from RNAcentral.
AGUGAACGCUGGCGGUAGGCCUGACACAUGCAAGUCGAACGGCAGCACAGGAGAGCUUGCUCUCUGGGUGGCGAGUGGCGGACGGGUGAGGAAUACAUCGGAAUCUACUCUGUCGUGGGGGAUAGCGUAGGGAAACUUACGCUAAUACCGCAUACGACCUACGGGUGAAAGCAGGGGACCUUCUGGCCUUGCGCGAUUGAAUGAGCCGAUGUCGGAUUAGCUAGUUGGCGGGGUAAAGGCCCACCAAGGCGACGAUCCGUAGCUGGUCUGAGAGGAUGAUCAGCCACACUGGAACUGAGACACGGUCCAGACUCCUACGGGAGGCAGCAGUGGGGAAUAUUGGACAAUGGGCGCAAGCCUGAUCCAGCCAUACCGCGUGGGUGAAGAAGGCCUUCGGGUUGUAAAGCCCUUUUGUUGGGAAAGAAAUCCAGCUGGCUAAUACCCGGUUGGGAUGACGGUACCCAAAGAAUAAGCACCGGCUAACAUCGUGCCAGCAGCCGCCGUAA